RNAcentral lists this ribosomal RNA (497 nucleotides) under uncultured bacterium. RNAcentral describes it as "partial 16S ribosomal RNA". It matches the Rfam family "Bacterial small subunit ribosomal RNA", at positions 28 to 507 of the family's 1533-position model. The record is from RNAcentral.
GAUGAACGCUGGCGGCGUGCCUAAUACAUGCAAGUCGAGCGAACAGACGAGGAGCUUGCUCCUCUGACGUUAGCGGCGGACGGGUGAGUACCACGUGGAUAACCUAUCUAUAAGACUGGGAUAACUUCUUGAAACCGGAGCUAAUAACGGUCAAUCUUUUGAAACGCCUUGUUCAUUAGUGUAAGACGGUUUUGCUGUCACUUAUUGAUGGAUCAGCUCUGCUUUAGCUAGUUGGUAAGGUAACGGACUUCCAAGGCAACGAUGCGUAGCCGCCCUGAGAGGGAGAGCGGCCGCACCGGAACUGAGACACGGUCCAGACUCCUACGGGAGGCAGCAGUAGGGAAUCUUGCGCAAUUGGCGAAAGCCUGACAGAGCAACGCCGCGUGAGUGAUGAAGGUCUUCGGAUCGUAAAACUCUGUUAUUAGGGAAGAACAAAUGUGUAAGUAACUAUGCACGUCUUGACGGUACCUAAUCAGAAAGCCACGGCUAACUACGUG